This 777-nucleotide ribosomal RNA is filed under the name uncultured bacterium. RNAcentral describes it as "bacterial SSU rRNA". It matches the Rfam family "Bacterial small subunit ribosomal RNA", at positions 8 to 795 of the family's 1533-position model. The record is from RNAcentral.
AGAGUUUGAUCAUGGCUCAGAACGAACGCUGGCGGCGUGCCUAACACAUGCAAGUCGAACGAGAAAGUUUCUUCGGAAACGAGUAAAGUGGCGCACGGGUGAGUAACACGUGAAUAAUCUGCCUUCGAGACUGGGAUAACUUGACGAAAGUUAAGCUAAUACCAGAUAAGACCACGCUUCACAAGGAGUGCGGGAAAAGGGAUCUCAAAUCCUGCUCGUAGAUGAGUUCGCGUACCAUUAGCUUGUUGGUGAGAUAAAAGCUCACCAAGGCGACGAUGGUUAGCCGGCCUGAGAGGGUGAUCGGCCACACUGGAACUGAGACACGGUCCAGACUCCUACGGGAGGCAGCAGUGGGGAAUCUUGCGCAAUGGGCGAAAGCCUGACGCAGCAACGCCGCGUGAGCGAUGAAGGCCUUCGGGUCGUAAAGCUCUGUCAAGUGGGAAGAACACAAUGACGGUACCACUAGAGGAAGCCCCGGCUAACUUCGUGCCAGCAGCCGCGGUAAUACGAAGGGGGCAAGCGUUGUUCGGAAUUAUUGGGCGUAAAGCGUAUGUAGGUGGUUUAUCAAGUCAGACGUGCAAGCCCUCGGCUCAACCGAGGAAUUGCGUUUGAAACUGAUAGACUUGAGUGUAGGAGAGGAAAGCGGAAUUCCCAGUGUAGCGGUGAAAUGCGUUGAUAUUGGGAAGAACACCGGUGGCGAAAGCGGCUUUCUGGCCUGCUACUGACACUGAGAUACGAAAGCCAGGGGAGCAAAGGGGAUUAGAUACCCCCGUAGUC